CCCAGAGGUGGAGCCUACUGAGGCAGGCAGGCCUCCUUGAGCUGUGGUGGGCUCCACCCAGUUCGAGCUUCCUGGCUGCUUUGUUUACCUAAUCAAGCCUGGGCAAUGGCGGGCGCCCCUCCCCCAGCCUCGCUGCCGCCUUGCAGUUUGAUCUCAGACUGCUGUGCUAGCAAUCAGCGAGACUCCGUGGGCGUAGGACCCUCCGAGCCAGAAACAAGCCCUGGAAAAACAAAGAAUGGAACACCCCUCCGCUGACUUCAACCAACUGCCUGCUGAUGCGGCCUGACUCCCAGCCCUUUUUGCAGUUUUGAAGUGACAAACUGACUAGGCUACAAAGUAUUCAACCAUGGGCUGGUUCUGGCUGGUUCACCGAGGCUGUGUACAAAGUGUCUUCAUGUCCUGUGUUUCACCUUUUAACAUACAGAACCUAAUUUUACUGCAUUUUAAUGUUAAUUCUCCACUCGAAGGUGAACAUGGGAUGUAUGUAACACAUAUGUUUGCUUAUCAAGCACACAUAUGACCCCCUUUCAUGAAUAUUCAUAGUUCCCCCUGUGACCUGUUGAAUAUGUCUGUUUAGCCAACCUGUUUGGCAUAAAACUCCUAUCCCACCCUAUCUCCCUCAAAGUACCUGUUUGUGGUCUCAGCUGGAGGUGCCACUUCCCAGCCUGCAGUUUGCAACCCUUCUCAAGAAAUAAAG
Molecule: long non-coding RNA, 697 nt
Filed under: Homo sapiens (human)
Lineage: Eukaryota; Metazoa; Chordata; Mammalia; Primates; Hominidae
Description: HSALNT0397542
Source: RNAcentral